UACGUAGGGUGCGAGCGUUGUCCGGAAUUAUUGGGCGUAAAGGGCUCGUAGGCGGUUUGUCGCGUCGGGAGUGAAAACGCCGUGCUUAACACGGCGCUUGCUUUCGAUACGGGCAGACUAGAGGUAUUCAGGGGAGAACGGAAUUCCUGGUGUAGCGGUGAAAUGCGCAGAUAUCAGGAGGAACACCGGUGGCGAAGGCGGUUCUCUGGGAAUGACCUGACGCUGAGGAGCGAAAGUGUGGGGAGCAAACAGG
Molecule: ribosomal RNA, 253 nt
Filed under: uncultured bacterium
Lineage: Bacteria
Description: partial 16S ribosomal RNA
Rfam family: Bacterial small subunit ribosomal RNA
Source: RNAcentral